RNAcentral lists this long non-coding RNA (318 nucleotides) under Malus domestica (apple). RNAcentral's name for it is "long non-coding RNA (MDOM_LNC011506)". Lineage: Eukaryota; Viridiplantae; Streptophyta; Magnoliopsida; Rosales; Rosaceae. The record is from RNAcentral.
AAAAGAGUGAGUGUUAAGGGUUUUCUUUGUAGAAAAGCCUCACCAGUUUUUGGUGGAGAAAUAGAUCUUUAUAAGGAGUAUAGCCAGCCUUUAGGGUAGGAUUUGAUGAGAAUAUUUCCGAGAUAUUGUGUAAAUAAUAUUUUAGAAUAAUGUGAAGAUAUCUCAAAAUAAAUGUGAUUGAGAUUACUUACUUGAUAGAGUUUGUCUUCACUUGAGAAUGUAUUAAAAAUAGGAUUUAGUAAUUAAUCCUAUCUUUAAUGGACUUUUCCUUGACACGAGCGGUCGUAGUCAGCUCCUUGAACUUCCAGGAGAUAUUAU